This 778-nucleotide long non-coding RNA is filed under the name Brassica napus (rape). Its description in RNAcentral is "long non-coding RNA (BNAP_LNC000508)". The record is from RNAcentral. Lineage: Eukaryota; Viridiplantae; Streptophyta; Magnoliopsida; Brassicales; Brassicaceae.
UGAUAGAGUUUCAGUGAAUGUACUUAUAUUUAGUGUUCUUGGGUGGAUUUAGGUUCAGAGUAGGUAUGAAUCUUGUGGUUUAAGAUUUGCUAAGUAAUCUGUCUUCAGCAAAAUAGUGUUGAGUUGAAUUCUCAAACUUGUCUUAGCGAAGUAAGCUGUCAUGUUCCAACGAUUCUUACUCAUGUGCCCUUGAUCUGACUACUAUACAUGGAUUUUAAUUCUCAAACUUGUCUCGCAUUACAGAGUAAUCCGUUUGCAAAUCCAGAUAGACAAAACAUAGUACUCAGAAGGUAGUCCGUUGUGUAUGAUAAAAGUUAUAGCUCAAAACAUAAUCUUCACUAUUUAUUCUUAAAGGGAAUGGAACUAAAUGUCCAUUCAUACACUGCUUGCAUUUCUACAUCCAGAUUCAGGAAAGUUCAAGUCCUACACAAACCAGGGAAGGUUCACUUACGAGUUCGAAUCAGCUGCAGAGUUCGCUGGGGAAACUUUCUCAAUGGAAUGAUGAACUCAUCAAUCCUUCGUCGUCCUGGCUGAUGGAGUAGUUACACGAGAUGUUACAACUGUUUACCUUACAGAAAGAAACUGGAAUGUAGAGAAAGCCUUCUCAAAUCUAUUGGAAGAAUCAUCGCAGUUUCAGGCUUCACAAGAAGGUGAAACCGGGAGCUCUUCUAGGUAAACCAGUAAAUGAUGGUUUCUAGAGUAUGCUUAGUAUGAAUCGGUUAUGAUUCAACACUUUGAGCCUCAUGUAAUAUUGUAUUAUAGUUUAACUCUAAAUUAU